This 497-nucleotide ribosomal RNA is filed under the name uncultured bacterium. RNAcentral describes it as "partial 16S ribosomal RNA". It matches the Rfam family "Bacterial small subunit ribosomal RNA", at positions 28 to 507 of the family's 1533-position model. The record is from RNAcentral.
GAUGAACGCUGGCGGCGUGCCUAAUACAUGCAAGUCGAGCGAACAGAUGAGAAGCUUGCUCCUCUGACGUUAGCGGCGGACGGGUGAGUAACACGUGGAUAACCUACCUAUAAGACUGGGAUAACUUCGGGAAACCGGAGCUAAUACCGGAUAAUAUAUUGAACCGCAUGGUUCAAUAGUGAAAGACGGUUUUGCUGUCACUUAUAGAUGGAUCCGCGCCGCAUUAGCUAGUUGGUAAGGUAACGGCUUACCAAGGCAACGAUGCGUAGCCGACCUGAGAGGGUGAUCGGCCACACUGGAACUGAGACACGGUCCAGACUCCUACGGGAGGCAGCAGUAGGGAAUCUUCCGCAAUGGGCGAAAGCCUGACGGAGCAACGCCGCGUGAGUGAUGAAGGUCUUCGGAUCGUAAAACUCUGUUAUUAGGGAAGAACAAAUGUGUAAGUAACUAUGCACAUCUUGACGGUACCUAAUCAGAAAGCCACGGCUAACUACGUG